RNAcentral lists this ribosomal RNA (253 nucleotides) under uncultured bacterium. RNAcentral's name for it is "partial 16S ribosomal RNA". It matches the Rfam family "Bacterial small subunit ribosomal RNA", at positions 524 to 776 of the family's 1533-position model. The record is from RNAcentral.
UACGUAGGUCCCGAGCGUUGUCCGGAUUUAUUGGGUGUAAAGGGAGCGUAGGCGGACUUUUAAGUGAGAUGUGAAAUACUCGGGCUCAACUUGAGUGCUGCAUUUCAAACUGGAAGUCUAGAGUGCAGGAGAGGAGAAUGGAAUUCCUAGUGUAGCGGUGAAAUGCGUAGAGAUUAGGAAGAACACCAGUGGCGAAGGCGAUUCUCUGGACUGUAACUGGCGCUGAGGCUCGAAAGCGUGGGGAGCAAACAGG